RNAcentral lists this non-coding RNA (105 nucleotides) under Anaerobacillus alkalilacustris. Its description in RNAcentral is "TPP sequence". It matches the Rfam family "TPP riboswitch aptamer (THI element)". From Rfam's summary of the family: Vitamin B(1) in its active form thiamin pyrophosphate (TPP) is an essential coenzyme that is synthesised by coupling of pyrimidine and thiazole moieties in bacteria. The previously detected thiamin-regulatory element, thi box was extended, resulting in a new, highly conserved RNA secondary structure, the THI element, which is widely distributed in eubacteria and also occurs in some archaea. RNAcentral also lists the same sequence under 1 other name. Lineage: Bacteria; Bacillati; Bacillota; Bacilli; Caryophanales; Bacillaceae. The record is from RNAcentral.
UUGAACCACUAGGGGUGUCUAUUUGACUGAGAUUAAAGCCUAGCUUUAAGACCCUUUGAACCUGAACUAUCUCAUUAUAGCGGAGGGAAGUGGAACAUCAUGAUU